This 422-nucleotide ribosomal RNA is filed under the name uncultured cyanobacterium. Its description in RNAcentral is "bacterial SSU rRNA". It matches the Rfam family "Bacterial small subunit ribosomal RNA", at positions 358 to 795 of the family's 1533-position model. The record is from RNAcentral. Lineage: Bacteria; Bacillati; Cyanobacteriota.
GGAAUUUUCCGCAAUGGGCGAAAGCCUGACGGAGCAACGCCGCGUGAGGGAUGAAGGCCUCUGGGCUGUAAACCUCUUUUUUCAAGGAAGAAGAUCUGACGGUACUUGAAGAAUAAGCCACGGCUAAUUCCGUGCCAGCAGCCGCGGUAAUACGGGAGUGGCAAGCGUUAUCCGGAAUUAUUGGGCGUAAAGCGUCCGCAGGCGGCCUUGUAAGUCUGUUGUUAAAGCGUGGAGCUUAACUCCAUUUGAGCAAUGGAAACUGCAAGGCUUGAGUGUGGUAGGGGCAGAGGGAAUUCCCGGUGUAGCGGUGAAAUGCGUAGAUAUCGGGAAGAACACCAGUGGCGAAGGCGCUCUGCUGGGCCAUAACUGACGCUCAUGGACGAAAGCCAGGGGAGCGAAAGGGAUUAGAUACCCCUGUAGUC